GAUGAACGCUAGCGAUAGGCCUAACACAUGCAAGUCGAGGGGCAUCACAUGAAGUAGCAAUACGGAUGGUGGCGACCGGCGCACGGGUGAGUAACACGUAUGCAACCUGCCUUCAACAAGGGGGAUAACCCGUUGAAAGACGGACUAAUACCCUAUAACACAGGGGUCCCGCAUGGGGAUAUUUGUUAAAGGACAACCGGUUGAAGAUGGGCAUGCGUUCCAUUAGCUAGUUGGCGGGGUAAGGCCCACCAAGGCAACGAUGGAUAGGGGAACUGAGAGGUUUAUCCCCCAACUGGUACUGAGACACGGACCAGACUCCUACGGGAGGCAGCAGUGAGGAAUAUUGGUCAAUGGACGCAAGUCUGAACCAGCCACGUCGCGUGAAGGAAGAAUGUCCUAUGGAUUGUAAACUGCUUUUGCAGGGGAAUAAAGUGAGCCACGUGUGGUUUUUUGUAUGUACUCUGCGAAUAAGGAUCGGCUAACUCCGUGCCAGCAGCCGCGGU
RNAcentral lists this ribosomal RNA (503 nucleotides) under uncultured bacterium. RNAcentral's name for it is "bacterial SSU rRNA". It matches the Rfam family "Bacterial small subunit ribosomal RNA", at positions 28 to 521 of the family's 1533-position model. The record is from RNAcentral.